UUUUGACUGUGCUGAAUGUUUGGUCUCCAAAGUAAAAGGUCAAACAAGGUCACAGACCAUUGGAUUCUACGACAUAUGGGUCCACAUGUUACAUGGCAACGUG
This is a long non-coding RNA of Thalassophryne amazonica, 103 nucleotides long. RefSeq lists it as uncharacterized. The record is from RefSeq and is a predicted model, not a curated record. NCBI's taxonomy places the organism in Eukaryota, Metazoa, Chordata, Actinopteri, Batrachoidiformes, Batrachoididae. The transcript has 3 exons.